AGAGAUAUGGUAGAUGGGCUAGAAGAGCAUGACAUAUACUGUUGUGUCGAUAUUUUCUCCUCGGACCUUGAAAAUUUAUGGUGGGGACACGCAAACUUCUCAACAGGCCGUACCAAUAUCCGCAGCUGGUCUCCAAGGUGAAGAGUCUCUAGUCGAUAGAAUAAUGUAGGUAAGGGAAGUCGGCAAAUUAGAUCCGUAACUUCGGGAUAAGGAUUGGCUCUGAAGAUUGAGAUAGUCGGGCUUGAUUGGGAAACAAUAACAUGGUUUAUGUGCUCGUUCUGGGUAAAUAGAGUUUCUAGCAUUUAUGUUAGUUACUUGUUCCCCGGAUAGUUUAGUUACGUAGCCAAUUGUGGAACUUUCUUGCUAAAAUUUUUAAGAAUACUAUUUGGGUUAAACCAAUUAGUUCUUAUCAAUUAUAACGAUUAUCAAUUAACAAUCAAUUCAGAACUGGCACGGACUUGGGGAAUCCGACUGUCUAAUUAAAACAAAGCAUUGUGAUGGCCCUAGCGGGUGUUGACACAAUGUGAUUUCUGCCCAGUGCUCUGAAUGUCAAAGUGAAGAAAUUCAAGUAAGCGCGGGUCAACGGCGGGAGCAAAUGGAUCACUCGCUUGAGAGGGUUUGGUCUGCUACCCUCGAGAACGACCUUCGGGCAUCUAGAAGCUCAUUAUCUUCCUCUCCGGGGCCUGACGGGAUAGCUCCAAAAACAGCCAGGGAGGUGCCUUCAGGUAUUAUGUUGCGAAUUAUGAACCUAAUUCUAUGGCGCGGCAAUCUACCACACUCGAUCUGACUGGCCAGAAGCGUCAUCAUCCCAAAGACGGAGACGGCCUAAGAGACCGCGACACUAUUCGUCCAAUAUGGGGUGCCUUCAGUCCUGGGAAUACAGCUG
This 886-nucleotide non-coding RNA is filed under the name Drosophila sechellia. Its description in RNAcentral is "Eukaryotic large subunit ribosomal RNA". It matches the Rfam family "Eukaryotic large subunit ribosomal RNA", at positions 1737 to 2271 of the family's 3401-position model. Lineage: Eukaryota; Metazoa; Arthropoda; Insecta; Diptera; Drosophilidae. The record is from Rfam by way of RNAcentral.